AGCUUGCUCUUUCCGGAAUUGAGUGGCAAACGGGUGAGUAACACGUAAACAACCUGCCUUCAGGAUGGGGACAACAGACGGAAACGACUGCUAAUACCGCAUGACGCAUAGAGGUCGCAUGAUCUUUAUGCCAAAGAUUUAUCGCUUCAAGAUGGCCUCGCGUCUGAUUAGCUGGUUGGCGGGGUAACGGCCCACCAAGGCGACGAUCAGUAGCCGGACUGAGAGGUUGAACGGCCACAUUGGGACUGAGACACGGCCCAAACUCC
This 266-nucleotide ribosomal RNA is filed under the name uncultured Eubacteriales bacterium. Its description in RNAcentral is "uncultured Clostridiales bacterium partial 16S ribosomal RNA". It matches the Rfam family "Bacterial small subunit ribosomal RNA", at positions 77 to 339 of the family's 1533-position model. Lineage: Bacteria; Bacillati; Bacillota; Clostridia; Eubacteriales. The record is from RNAcentral.